RNAcentral lists this ribosomal RNA (461 nucleotides) under uncultured bacterium. Its description in RNAcentral is "partial 16S ribosomal RNA". It matches the Rfam family "Bacterial small subunit ribosomal RNA", at positions 338 to 795 of the family's 1533-position model. The record is from RNAcentral.
CCUACGGGUGGCAGCAGUGAGGAAUAUUGGUCAAUGGCCGUAAGGCUGAACCAGCCAAGUAGCGUGAGGGAAGACUGCCCUAUGGGUUGUAAACUUCUUUUAUAAAGGAAUAAAACGAGGCACGUGUGCUUUUUUGCAUGUACUUUAUGAAUAAGGAUCGGCUAACUCCGUGCCAGCAGCCGCGGUAAUACGGAGGAUCCGAGCGUUAUCCGGAUUUAUUGGGUUUAAAGGGAGCGUAGAUGGGUUGUUAAGUCAGUUGUGAAAGUUUGCGGCUCAACCGUAAAAUUGCAAUUGAUACUGGCAGUCUUGAGUACAGUUGAGGUAGGCGGAAUUCGUGGUGUAGCGGUGAAAUGCUUAGAUAUCACGAAGAACCCCGAUUGCGAAGGCAGCUUACUAAACUGUGACUGACAUUGAUGCUCGAAAGUGUGGGUAUCAAACAGGAUUAGAUACCCCUUGUAGUC